UGGUGACCUGAGGCUCCCUGACUGUCACUCUGUCCCAGCCCCACCUGGCCCGCGGGGCACAGGCUGAGUCCCAGUAAAGUCCGUGGGGUCCUGACCC
Molecule: microRNA precursor, 97 nt
Filed under: Canis lupus dingo (dingo)
Lineage: Eukaryota; Metazoa; Chordata; Mammalia; Carnivora; Canidae
Description: mir-8813 microRNA precursor family
Rfam family: mir-8813 microRNA precursor family
Source: Rfam by way of RNAcentral